Molecule: non-coding RNA, 125 nt
Organism: Triticum aestivum (bread wheat)
Lineage: Eukaryota; Viridiplantae; Streptophyta; Magnoliopsida; Poales; Poaceae
Source: Rfam
UAAGUACUCCCUCCGUCCGGAAAUACUUGUCGAAGAAAUGAAUGUAUCUAGAUAUAAUUUAGUUCUAGAUACAUCCAUUUCUAACCAUUUUUGUGACAAGUAAUUCCAGACGGAAGGAGUAUACA